AACAGUAAGCAAGCUUCUUUGUGUCUUUGGUCAGCACUAGGACCUAAUACAGAGUAAAAUUCAGCCUUCGGAGCUCUGAACUCAAAGGACAGAAACUUCUCCAAAGCACAAGGAAGUCUACUCAGGAACUGCAAAUCUUCAUCAUGUGAGAUGUAGAUUAUCUUUUGUAAUAUCAAGAAAUGCACAAAUCCACAACACUGUCCAAAGACUUUACAAGUCCAACUUUACACCUUGCUUAAUCUUCAGGAAACAGGCAUCUAAUUGCUCCUUUGAAAGAGUAUUUGCAAUACAGCCUUCCCUGGAUAUAAAGCAUUACAGAGUACAUGAGUUGACAUCUGAAGUCUUUUCAUAUUGUUUAUUGGCAGAAGAACCUAUGAAUAUCCUCCCCAGGUCAGUUAAAAACAACCAGCUUGAAGAUGCUGAUGGUCAAUAAUGGAUAUGCAGGAGAGAACAUAAUGUCAGGGGAACAUUGAACAGCGAAAAUUUCAGGGCUUCCCUGUCCUUUUUUACAUGUGCAAUCACUUACUCCUCUACAAAACUCUAUCAGAAUAAAAUCCUUUGCUUCAUAAGCUUUUUAAAUAUAUUUACUUUUUGUAGAACACAAAAGGAAUUGACUAUAUCUUUUUGACAGGUGGGUCUAUGCACUUUUUUUCUUCAUAGUUUGUCAGAGUUGCUAUUUCUUAUAUCACAAUCAUUAUAAACAUAAUCUUAAAAACUUAAACAAGAUGAAUUUUGUCUUUUCCACCUUAAAAGAGAUCAUGUAAAUCUACCUUAAAGAAGUUCAGGGCAGGAACUGGUACAUCUGAAGCCUAGACAAAACAACAAAAAGUGAAUAUUUACUCUUCAGAUAUUUUAUAACAAGUAGGUAUUUUGUGAAUUUCCCAUUGUUAACCAUUAGAGCCUCUGCCUUGUUGUUAAGAAGAUGGCGUUAAUAAAAGAUUGUUUUUUAUUUUAAAUAAAGCUUCUGAAAAUUUUCAACUGACUGUGCCAGAGAAGUGUAGAAUGAAUUAAUCUUUCUAGAGAAUUUGAACUUUCUGAUUUACACAGUAUGCAAGGUUUUGACCAUAACAACAUUAAAAUUUUCCUGCUCCCUUAAAAAAACUCUGAUUUUUAAUUUAUUUUGCUAGAAGAUUAAACUAAGGAAUUUAAGUCCUUCCUGAGAUAUCUGAUGUCUUUAGAGACUUUUUAUUCAAUGGGAAUAUCACAGCACAGGAAACUGUCCAUAAAAAUCUAUUACAGGUCUGCUAAAAUAAUAAUCUAAUAGUCUGCUAAAAAAUGUAUGAGACCGAUCUGCCUCUCCAGACCUCAGAAUGGUCUCUUGUGAUAAUGUCUCCAAAUCUAAUUAAAGAAUCUGAGUAGAUCAAGGUUUAGACAUAAGAUGAUUCUUAACUUUAAAGGUCCUUCUGGUGCUUUGAAGCACCUUGGGAUUUAACCUUCCAGAUAUGUCACUGAUCUUUGACAUGGAGGGAAGAUAGUCAUCUGUCCUAGAAAAAAUAUUCUGGAGAACCAAUUCUCCAUAUUGACCUACAUAGCUAAAUCAGAGGGAAAAAAAAAAAAAAAAAAAGGACAGGAGUACUGAGUCAAUAAAAUAUGUACUUUUGUAUCUGGAUAUUCCUAUGCAGUGAGAUAUCAUUAUGACACUCUAAUAUAGUAUUUUCUUCCAUGUAAGAAAAUGUGUUUAAUUUCUAAAAGGGGAAUAGCAUUGAAAUGGAAACUCAUAUUAAAAAGA
Molecule: long non-coding RNA, 1729 nt
Organism: Cygnus atratus (black swan)
Lineage: Eukaryota; Metazoa; Chordata; Aves; Anseriformes; Anatidae
Exons: 4
Source: RefSeq, a predicted model, not a curated record